UACGUAGGUGGCAAGCGUUGUCCGGAUUUACUGGGCGUAAAGAGCGCGCAGGCGGUCGUUCAAGUCGCGUGUGAAAGCCCCCGGCUCAACUGGGGAGGGUCACGCGAUACUGAUCGACUCGAAGGCAGGAGAGGGAAGUGGAAUUCCCGGUGUAGUGGUGAAAUGCGCAGAUAUCAGGAAGAACACCCGUGGCUAAGGCGGCUCUCUAGUACGGUACUGACGCUGAGACGCGAAAGCGUGGGGAGCGAACAGG
RNAcentral lists this ribosomal RNA (253 nucleotides) under uncultured bacterium. Its description in RNAcentral is "partial 16S ribosomal RNA". It matches the Rfam family "Bacterial small subunit ribosomal RNA", at positions 524 to 776 of the family's 1533-position model. The record is from RNAcentral.